RNAcentral lists this ribosomal RNA (375 nucleotides) under uncultured eukaryote. Its description in RNAcentral is "partial 18S ribosomal RNA". It matches the Rfam family "Eukaryotic small subunit ribosomal RNA", at positions 592 to 976 of the family's 1831-position model. The record is from RNAcentral.
CAAUAGCGUAUAUUUAAGUUGUUGCAGUUAAAAAGCUCGUAGUUGGAUUUCGGUUAAGAGCGACCGGUCCGCCGUUUGGUGUGCACUGGUUGGUUUUAACUUCCUGUAGAGGACGUGCUCUGGGUUUAACGACCUGGACUCGGAGUCUACGUGGUUACUUUGAAAAAAUUAGAGUGUUCAAAGCGGGCUUACGCUCGAAUAUUUCAGCAUGGAAUAACACUAUAGGACUCCUGUCCUAUUUCGUUGGUCUCGGGACGGGAGUAAUGAUUAAGAGGAACAGUUGGGGGCAUUCGUAUUUCAUUGUCAGAGGUGAAAUUCUUGGAUUUAUGAAAGACGAACUUCUGCGAAAGCAUUUGCCAAGGAUGUUUUCAUUAA